RNAcentral lists this ribosomal RNA (95 nucleotides) under Oryza sativa Japonica Group (Japanese rice). RNAcentral describes it as "28S ribosomal RNA". It matches the Rfam family "Eukaryotic large subunit ribosomal RNA", at positions 2074 to 2168 of the family's 3401-position model. Lineage: Eukaryota; Viridiplantae; Streptophyta; Magnoliopsida; Poales; Poaceae. The record is from RNAcentral.
CUCGGGGGCCUUCCCCGGGCGUCGAACAGCCGACUCAGAACUGGUACGGACAAGGGGAAUCCGACUGUUUAAUUAAAACAAAGCAUUGCAAUGGU